RNAcentral lists this transfer RNA (60 nucleotides) under Streptosyllis sp. THS1. Its description in RNAcentral is "tRNA-Val". Lineage: Eukaryota; Metazoa; Annelida; Polychaeta; Phyllodocida; Syllidae. The record is from RNAcentral.
UGAAAGCAUUGGAGAUGCAAAUCAAUUACAAUGAUUAGACGGGUUACCUCAUUUGAUUGU